UACGAAGGGUGCAAGCGUUAUCCGGAAUCACUGGGCGUAAAGGGCGCGUAGGCGGCAAUUCAAGUCAUCUGUGAAAUCUCCGGGCUUAACUCGGAACGGUCAGAUGAUACUGCUUUGCUAGAGUGCAGAAGGGGCAAUCGGAAUUCUUGGUGUAGCGGUGAAAUGCGUAGAUAUCAAGAGGAACACCUGAGGUGAAGACGGGUUGCUGGGCUGACACUGACGCUGAGGCGCGAAAGCUAGGGUAGCAAACGGG
This 253-nucleotide ribosomal RNA is filed under the name uncultured bacterium. Its description in RNAcentral is "partial 16S ribosomal RNA". It matches the Rfam family "Bacterial small subunit ribosomal RNA", at positions 524 to 776 of the family's 1533-position model. The record is from RNAcentral.